RNAcentral lists this long non-coding RNA (244 nucleotides) under Elaeis guineensis (African oil palm). Its description in RNAcentral is "long non-coding RNA (EGUI_LNC072271)". Lineage: Eukaryota; Viridiplantae; Streptophyta; Magnoliopsida; Arecales; Arecaceae. The record is from RNAcentral.
UCUGUCAGAUCGGCGGUCACUAGCAAGCCAAUCAUGCCUAGAUGCAUGCCCGUGCAUCUCCCGACGUCGAUUCCUUCGGAUCGGAGGAUUUUCGAUGCUAGAUUCCGUCAGAUUGAUAGCCCCAGUGACUUUGGCUCCCCUCCUCACGUUCGUGUGCAUCUCCGGCAUUAAACCCCAUCAAAUCUGAAGCAUCUCGAUGUUUGGCCCUAUUAGGUCAAUAGUUUUUCGGCCUCAAAACUCUCUC